Long non-coding RNA from Cannabis sativa, 874 nucleotides. RefSeq lists it as uncharacterized. Lineage: Eukaryota; Viridiplantae; Streptophyta; Magnoliopsida; Rosales; Cannabaceae. The record is from RefSeq and is a predicted model, not a curated record. The transcript is spliced from 2 exons.
UUGUAUCUCUAUCUGAGAUAUUUUUCUUCUUACAACCAAAAUAUAUUUUUUACUAAUUUUUUUACUAAUUCAUUCUCUCUUUAUUUUUAUUAUUUAUUUAUUUAUUUUUAUUUGGAAGAUUUGUAGGACUUAGUAGUGAUCUCUAUAUUUUUUAAUGGUUGUGAUUAAUUAAAAAUAGACUGCAUAUUGAUUUUUUAUUAUUUUGUAAAUAAUUUUACUGUAUUGACUCAAAUUAGUUAGACUAUAAAAUGUUAUAAUUUUAUUUUAUGGAUUUUUCUCUAAUGCAUAACUAUAUACACUAAUAGCAUGCAAGUAUUAAGUUAGAUAAUAAUAAUAUCAUAUUGGAAAGUGUUACUCAAAAUACUUAGAUUAUAUUUUAUAUUUAUUUUUUGGUGUAACUAUUAUAAAUAUUUAAAUUAAUUUUGUAGCUUAAGUUAUGAUGGAAGAGAGUAGUGGUUCAAUCGAUGUAAAGAAGAAUAGUGAUUCAAUCGUUGUGAAGAAGAGAAAAUGUCAAUGCGGGGCUGAAUGUGUAGUAAGAAAAAAUAAAAAUAACGGCGAAUUAUUCUAUGGUUGUCCAUUGUGGAAGAAUAAAACUGACCAAGGCUGUGGAUUUCAAGGACUUGUUGAAGGUGAAAGGUCGACUGCUUUAAAAUCAUUUGAUACCAAAGAAAUACAUCAAUUGUUGGCGGCAAUAAAUUCAAUUGUGCAGUUGUUGUUGGAGAUGAACAUUGUUUUUAAUAAAAUAGCUGAUUUGUUGUCGAAGAUGAAUAUUAUGUUUGCUAAAAUGUUACAAUGUGUAAUUAUUUAUUUUGUUAUGUAUUUGUUAUUUAAAUGUUUGUAUAUGUGAAAGUUCAAUAAUAAAUAAUUUUAUGUA